AACGAACGCUGGCGGCAUGCCUAACACAUGCAAGUCGAACGAGAUCUUCGGGUCUAGUGGCGCACGGGUGCGUAACGCGUGGGAAUCUGCCCUUUGGUUCGGAAUAACAGUUGGAAACGACUGCUAAUACCGGAUGAUGACGAAAGUCCAAAGAUUUAUCGACAGAGGAUGAGCCCGCGUAGGAUUAGCUAGUUGGUGUGGUAAAGGCGCACCAAGGCGACGAUCCUUGGCUGGGAUGAGAGGAUGAUCAGCCACACUGGGACGGAGAAACGGCCCAGACGCGUACGGGAGGCAACAGUGGGGAAUAUUGGACAAUGGGCGAAAGCCUGAUCCAGCAAUGCCGCGUGAGUGACGAAGGCCUUAGAGUUGUAAAGCUCUUUUACCCGGGAUGAUAAUGACAGUACCGGGAGAAUAAGCUCCGGCUAACUCCGUGCCAGCCGCCGCCGUAA
Molecule: ribosomal RNA, 449 nt
Filed under: uncultured bacterium
Lineage: Bacteria
Description: partial 16S ribosomal RNA
Rfam family: Bacterial small subunit ribosomal RNA
Source: RNAcentral